GACGAACCGUACGAACGUUAUUCGGAAUCACUGGGCUUAAAGGGCGUGUAGGCGGGCAUGCAAGUCAGGCGUGAAAUCCCUGGGCUCAACCCAGGAAUUGCACUUGAAACUGCAUGUCUUGAGUAUCGGAGAGGAAAGCGGAAUUCCUGGUGUAGAGGUGAAAUUCGUAGAUAUCAGGAGGAACACCGGUGGCGAAGGCGGCUUUCUGGACGAUAACUGACGCUGAGACGCGAAAGCGUGGGGAGCAAACAGG
RNAcentral lists this ribosomal RNA (253 nucleotides) under uncultured bacterium. RNAcentral describes it as "partial 16S ribosomal RNA". It matches the Rfam family "Bacterial small subunit ribosomal RNA", at positions 524 to 776 of the family's 1533-position model. The record is from RNAcentral.